Molecule: long non-coding RNA, 253 nt
Organism: Anneissia japonica
Lineage: Eukaryota; Metazoa; Echinodermata; Crinoidea; Comatulida; Comatulidae
Exons: 3
Source: RefSeq, a predicted model, not a curated record
GGUUUUAUUAUUUGUGGAACAAUUGGAGCAUGUCUUACUCUAGCGGGUAUAAUUGUUGUUGCGAUUUAGAGAACAACUGAUGUAUGCUGUAUUUGAACUGACCAAGAACGUCAAUGAUGGCAACCAUGAUCUCUGUGGAAGCCGAGACUGAAUAUUCCAGAUGAAUAAUUUUUUUGAAUACAGUGGCCUUAUUAGGUAAAAAAAAAUUGUGUUGCCCAUCAGACCAAAAAUUUUGAAUGUUUAGGGUUACUUU